CACGUAGGGUGCGAGCGUUGUCCGGAAUUAUUGGGCGUAAAGAGCUCGUGGGCGGUGUGUCGCGUCGGCCGUGAAAACCUGCAGCUUAACUGUGGGCUUGCGGUCGAUACGGGCAUCACUGGAGUUCGGCAGGGGAGACUGGAAUUCCUGGUGUAGCGGUGAAAUGCGCAGAUAUCAGGAGGAACACCGGUGGCGAAGGCGGGUCUCUGGGACGUGACUGACGCUGAGACGCGAAAGCGUGGGGAGCAAACAGG
RNAcentral lists this ribosomal RNA (254 nucleotides) under uncultured bacterium. RNAcentral's name for it is "partial 16S ribosomal RNA". It matches the Rfam family "Bacterial small subunit ribosomal RNA", at positions 524 to 776 of the family's 1533-position model. The record is from RNAcentral.